Neopsephotus bourkii (Bourke's parrot) is the source of this 1909-nucleotide long non-coding RNA. RefSeq lists it as uncharacterized. The record is from RefSeq and is a predicted model, not a curated record. The transcript has 2 exons. NCBI's taxonomy places the organism in Eukaryota, Metazoa, Chordata, Aves, Psittaciformes, Psittacidae.
CCCAAAAAGUUUUUGUAAAGCAAGAGGAGGAGAAACAAAAGCAUAAAGCAAAAAUGAUGAUGUCCGCAGUGAAUCCAGUAGUGGAAAAACGAAUUAGAACCAAUGGUUCAAAGGGGUUGAGGAACAUGGACAAGGAGAAGGGGAAGAGGUAUGAGGGGUGUAAUGCUUCCUCCUCUUAGUAGGGGACAGGGAAGACUUUGCAGUCACCACAGGUUGUCCAGCCAUCAGCAUGUUGCUUCCUGUGUGGGAAAAGUGGACACUUAAAAUGUGAAUGUCCCAGUCUUGAGAAGGAGGAGCAGGUAAUUCUGUUGAUGACCUUUGAAGAUACUGAAUGGGGGAGUCAGGGGCUUCUUGAAGUCCCACCAAGAACCCUUGGUAAAUUUGAAAGUGGGACUUCCCUCAGGAUGAGGAAGUGGGGUUUUCUUAGUUGAUAUAGGAGCUGCUCAAACCUCAUUAAACUCAAUACCCCAAGGACUGAAACUAUCUGAUCAAAACCUGAUAGUCUCAGGAGUAAAAGGAGAAGGAUUCCCAGUCCCCGUGUUUGAAAACACCAUGUUAAAAUUAGGAAAUGAAACAACUAAAGGGAAAUCUUUAUAUAUUUCUGAGGCAUGGAAUGUAUUAGGAAGAGAUUAGGUUGUACAAUUAGGAUUAUGUUUAUGGUCCUAUUAACAGAAAAAGGUGAAAAGGAAAUAGAUCCAGUAGUUUGGGUGAAAGAAAGAAAUAGGGGAAGACUGGACAUACCCCCUUUAAAAAUCAAGUUGAAAAGGGAAGGUGACGUGGUAAACCAAAAGCAAUAUCCUAUCCCACUGGAAGGACGCAAAGGGCUUCAGGCGGUCAUAGAAGCUUUGAUCAAAGAUGGGCUGUUGAAACCCUGUGUGUCCCCUUUUUACCUGUAAGAAAAUAUGACAGGUCACAUCGUUUGGUCCAGGAUUUGAGAAAACUGAACCAAAUAGUCCAAGUCUGGCAUCCAGUGGUCCCCAAUCCUUAUACCUUAAUGAGCAAUAUAUCACAUGAACAUGAAUGGUUCAGUGCUGUGGAUCUGAAGGAUACCUUUUUGGCAUGUCCGUUGGAUCCAGAAAGCCGAGACGUGUUUGCAUUGGAAUGGGAGGACCCCUACAUGGGGCAUAAACAGCAGUUUAGAUGGAUGGUGUUGCCACAGGGAUUUACAGAGUCACCAAAUGUAUUUGUGCAGGUGUUAGAACGAGUAUUAGAAAAAUUAAAACCACCCCCACGCGUCACCCUGUUGCAAUAUGUGGAUGAUUUGUCCAUUUCAGGGAAAAAGAAAGAGGCAGUAACAGAAGAAACGCAUUACUAAACUUCCUGGGAGAACAAGACCUAAGAUUAUCGAAGAACAGAUUGCUGUAUGUAGAAAAAGAGGUCAAAUACUGUCCUGGUUUCAGCUGUAAUAGUUACUAUUCUUCUUAGUAGCUGGUGCAGUGCUGUGUUCUGGCUUCAGUCUGAGAACAAUGCUGAUAACACACCGAUGUUUUAGUUGUUGCUGGGUAACGCUUACUUCGGUCAAGGACUUUUCAGUCUCUCACGCUCUUGUCAGUGAGGAGGGGCACAAGAAGCCAGGAGGGAGCAGAGACAGGACACCUGACCCAAACUAACCAAAGGGAAACAAAGGACUCCACGCUGAAACGCCACCCUUGGAAUUCACAGUUCAUACCAUUCAACCAGGGGACCGCAUACUGAUCAAGUCAUGGAAGGACUUUAAAUUACAGCCUGUGUGGGACGGCCUGUUUCAUAUACUGUUCACCACUGAAGCUGCUGUGAGGACUGCCAGAAAAGGUUGGACACACUACACAAGGAUAAAAGGACCAGUGGAACUCCCAUCUGAAGACUGGCAGUAGCACGUACAAUCAACUGGGAACCCCCUCUGUGUUAAGAUAAAGAGACAAUAAGCAUA